RNAcentral lists this ribosomal RNA (319 nucleotides) under uncultured eukaryote. RNAcentral's name for it is "partial 18S ribosomal RNA". It matches the Rfam family "Eukaryotic small subunit ribosomal RNA", at positions 1470 to 1796 of the family's 1831-position model. The record is from RNAcentral.
CCCUUAGAUGUUCUGGGCAGCACGCGCGCUACAAUGGUCUUCGCAAACGGAUGCAUUCUCGAAGGAGAAUGCCAAUCUUGGAAUCUAUGCCUUGGUCGGGACAGUUGCUUGCAAUUUUUCGACUCGAACCAGGAAUUCCUUGUAAUCGUGAUUCAUCACAUCACGAUGAAUACGUCCCUGCCCUUUAUACACACCGCCCGUCGCUCCUACCGAUCGAAGAGUUAGGUGAAUUGUUUUGAUCGAUAAGACUUGACUAUGGUCAACUCUCGUUGUGAAAUUCUGUGAAUCUGACUGUUUAGAGGAAGGAAAAGCCGUAACA